This 267-nucleotide ribosomal RNA is filed under the name uncultured bacterium. RNAcentral's name for it is "partial 16S ribosomal RNA". It matches the Rfam family "Bacterial small subunit ribosomal RNA", at positions 793 to 1055 of the family's 1533-position model. The record is from RNAcentral.
GUCCACGCCCUAAACGAUGGAUACUAGACGUAAGAGGUAUCGACCCCUCUUGUGUCGCAGCUAACGCACUAAGUAUCCCGCCUGGGGAGUACGGCCGCAAGGUUGAAACUCAAAUGAAUUGACGGGGACCCGCACAAGCGGUGGAGCAUGUGGAUUAAUUCGAUACUAACCGAAGAACCUUACCCAGGUUUGACAUUGAAGGAAAGCUUGAGAGAUCAAGCCCUCGCUCACAAGGCGACCUGAAAACAGAUGUUGCAUGGCUGUCGU